CGGGUGAAAGGCAGGAGCGCCAGGCUGCAACAAAGAUAGCUGAAAAUGUAAAGCAGGUUCAGAAGUGGGUAACAGCCAGAAGUUGGAGAGUUUGGAGAGCUUGAAAAAAGACAGGAAGAUGAGGGAAAGUUGGGACCAUUGUAGAGACUUGUUAAAUAGUUUUGAUUAAAAUGCUGACAGAAGGAAGGCCAGGGAAGGCCAGGCUUACAAGGUCUCAGAUGAAAAUGAGGAACUUAACUGGGAACAGGAGCCAUGGUUAGUUUUGUUUUGCUGUAGCAAAGAAUGUGGCUGCACAUUGACCCUGCCCUGGAGAUAUGUGAAACUUUGAACUUGAGGGUGAUGACUUAGUGAGUAUCUGGUGGAAUGAACUUCUGGGCAGCAAAGCUCAAGAGGUGUCCUGUCUGCAUGAAACAGCCCUUGCCCUUUUGUGUGACUGAGGAAAUGACCUCUGGAUGGGUCUUACAUUAAAUGAGUCACAACUCUUAUAUUAAAUGAGAAACAGAACUCAAAAGUCUGGAAAACUUGCAGCCUUGCCAAGUGGUCAGAAAGAAAAGCCGAUUUUCAGUGGGAAAAUUCAAGAAGGCUUCAGGAAUUUGCACGAAAAGGAGCCCGGUGCUAAUAGCCAAGACAAUAAGGAAAAGACCUUGAAGGCAUUUCAGAGACCUUUGCAGCAGCCCUUGCUGUCACAGGCCCUGGGGCCUAGGAGAGAAGCAUCGUUUCCUGGGCCAGUUCCAUGAGCCCCCUCUAUGUGCAGCCUCAGGACACUGCUGCCGGCAUCCCUGCAGCUCCAUUUCCAACUCCAGUCAUGGCUGAAAGAUGCACAGGUAGAGUUUGCAUCCCUGCUUCAGGGGUGCAAGUUCCAAGCCUUGGUGUCUUCCACAUAGUGUUAAGCCAGCGGCUGCACAGAGCACAAAACUAGAGGCUUGGGGGCCUGUGUCUAGACUCCAGAGUAUGUACGGAAAAACCUGGGUGUUCAGGCAGAAGCUUUUCCAAGAGGCAGAGCCUCAUGGCACACCUUUACCAGGGCAGUACAGAAGGAGAAAAUGGGGUUGGAGUCCCUAAAUAUGGAGACACCAUUCUCCAGACCUUAGAUUCAUAGAUGCACCAACAGCUGGCACCCUUAGUGUGGAAAAGCCACAGGCACUCAACACAGCCCAGCCCAUGAGGGCAGCUGUGGGGGAUAUAUCAUGCAAAUCCACAGGUGCAGAGUUGCCCAAGGCCUUGGGAGCCCAGCCAUCACAUGCCUGUGCUCUAGAUGUGAGAUGUAGAUUCAGAAAAGAUGAUUUGGAGCUGCAGGAUUCAAUGACUGGCCUGCUGGGUUUUUGACUUCAUGGGGUCUGUAAGUCCUUGGACUUUUCAGUAAAUGCUGGAAUGAGUUAAGUCAUUGGGGGACAGUAGAGAAGUCAUCAUUGUAUUUUGCAGUGUGACAAGGAUACAAGAUUUGGGGACCAAAGGCCAGAAUAAUAUGAUUUGGUUCUGUGUCCCUACCAAUACUCAUGUGGAAUCGUAAUGGGGAAUGUUAAAGUUGGAGCCUGGUGGAAGGUGACUUAAUCAUGGAGAAGAGUGGGGGUUGGAAGUAGGGGUUUGGGGAGAAUGGGGGAGAUUAUUUUGUGGGUGGGGGUGAAAGAUGAGGAUAGGGGGGUGGAUUCUUCACAAAUGGUUAAUCACUAUCUCCUUAAUGCUGUCUGCAUGAUAGUGAGUUCUCUUGAUGAUUAUGGAGCUUAAAGAUUGAGUGAAUACUGUCCUGCUGGGUUUUGGACUUGCAUUAGGCCUGUGGUCCCAUUUGUGUUAUUUUUAUGGGAAAUUUCUUCCCUUUGGAUUGAGAAAGCUUACACAAUGCCUGUACCAUCAUUGUACCUUGAAAGAAAAGAAAUCCCUUUUAAAUUCAGGGACUCAUAUGCAGAAGGGACAGUAGCCUUGUCUCAGGUGAGACUUUGAACUUUUUACAUUUGGAAUGAGUUAAGGCUGUUGGAACUUUUGAAAAGGCAUGAUUGUAUUUUACUCUGUGAUAAGGACAUGAGAUUCUGGGAUAGCAGGGUCAGAAUAAUAUGGUUUGGCUGUGUGUCCCUAUGAAAAUUCAUGUGGAAUUUUAAUUCCAAAUGUUGAAGUUGGGGCCUGGGGGAGAUGAUUUAAUCAUGGACUGGAAGGGGUUGGGGUGGAAGGAAAAGGGUUGGUUAGGGUGGGGAGGAGUAGGCUGGCAGUAGGGUGGUGGGAGGGUGGUGGGUGGGAGGAAGGGGGAGCAGCCUGCUGCAGAGGCAGAGGCUCAUGGGAAACCCUCUACUAGGGCAAUGCACCUGUGGCUUUGCAGGGUUUAGCCCCUGCCGCAGCUCUCAUGGGCUGGGCUGGUGUUGAGUGCCUGUAGCUUUUCCACACAAGGUGUGAGCUGUUGGUGGGUCUAUGAAUCUGGGGUCUGGAGGUUGGUGGCCAUCUGUGUGGGUGCUCCAAGCUCAUAUUUCCCUUCCGCACUUCCCUAGUAGAGUUUUCCAAGAGGCUCUGCCUCUGCCUCAGGCUUCUGCCUGGAAAUAGUGGGAGUUGGGGGUAGGGGGCGAAUCCUUCACCAGUGGUUAAGCACCAUCUUUGUGAUGCUGACCUUGUGAUAGUGAGUUCUCAUGAGAUCUGGUUGUAUAAUAGGGUGUGGGACCUCUCUCCUCUCCCUGUCUUGCUCCUCCUCCUGCCACAUGAAUCAUCUCAUUGCCCCUUGACAUUCUGGUAUGACUGGGAGGCUUCCUGAUUCCUCUUAGAUGUAGAAGCCACUAUACUUCCUUAUAGCCUGCAGAAUCAUGAGCCAAGUAAACCUCUUCUUUAUGAUCAUAGAGAAAAUUAGUACUGCAAAGUGGGUCUAUUAAAUGUCUUCAAGGCCUUUUCCCUAUUGUCUUGGUAGUGAGCACUCAGCUUCUUUUCAUUCAAGUCUCUGAACCCUUCUUGAAUUUUCCCCCUGAAAAUGGACUUGUCUUCCCUUACUACAUUGUCAGGCUGCAGCAAAGAUAGCUGAUAAUGUAGAAGCAGGUUCAGAAGGGGGUAGCAGACAGAGUUCAGAGAGUUUGGAGGGCUUUGCAGACAAGAAGUUGAGGGAAAGUUUGGAUCUUUGUAAAGAAUUGUUACAUACUUGUGACCAGAAGGCUCACAGGAAAAUGGUGAGUGAAAGCCAGACUUAGAAGGUCUCAAAUGAAAAUGAGGAACUUACUGGGAACAGAAGCCAAAGUGACUUUUGUUUUGCCUUAACAAAGAAUGUGGCUGCACGGUGACCCUGCCCUGGAGAUCUGUGAAACUGAACUUGAGGGUGAUGACUUACUGAGUAUCUGGUGGAAUGAACUGGGCAGCAAAUCUCAAGAGGUGUCCUGUCCCCAUGGAACAGCCUGUGCUCUUAUGUGUGAUGGAGGAAAUAACCUCUGGAUGGGACUUACAUUAAAUGAGUCCCGUCUCUCAGAACUCAAAUUUAGGAAAAUUUGGAGCCUGGCCAAGUGGUCAAAAAGAAAAGCUGAUUUUCAGGGGGAAAAUUGAGGAAGGCUUCAGAAACUUGCAUGAAAAGGAGCCCGGUGCUAAUAGACAAGAUAAUAGGGAAAAAGGCCUUGAAGGCAUUUCAGAGACCUUUGCAGCAGCCCUUGCUAUUGUGGGCCCUGGGGCCUAGGAGAGAAGCAUGGUUUCCUUGGCCAGUUCCAUGAGCCUCUUCUAUGUGCAGCCUCAGAACACUGCUGCCUGCAUCCCUGCAGCUCAAGCUCCAGCCAUGGCUGAAAGAUGCACAGGUACAGCUCAGGUCACUGCUUCAGAGGAUGCAGGCUAGAAACCUUGGUAACAUCCUCAUAGUGUUAAGCCACUGGUGGACGGAGUGUGAGACUAGAGGCUUGGGAGCAUCUCUAUAGAUUUUGGAAGAUGUAUGGAAAUUCCUGGGUGUCCAGGCAAAACAUCCCAAAAAGGCAGAGCCUUAUAUCAAACUUCUACUAGGGCAGUGCAGAAGGAAAAUAUGGGGUUGGAACUCCCACACUGGAGACCACCAUCAUGCAGACCCCAGAUUCAUAGACCCCCCCCCCAAAACUUGUUUCCUCAAUGUGGAAAAGUCACAGGCACUCAUCACCAGCCCAGCCCAUGAGGGCACCCUUGGGGCAUAUACCCUGCAAAGCCACAGGUGCCAAGCUGCCCGAGGCCUUGGGAGCCCAGCCCUCACACCCCUGUGUCCUGGAUGUGGGACAGGGUUUCAAAAAGGGUGAUUUUGGAGCUGUAGGAUUGAAUGACUGGCCUUCUGGGUUUGGAGUUUCAUGGGGCCAGUAAGUCCUAUCUGUGUUUUGUUUUUUUUUCUGGCAAAAUUCUUCCUUUUGGCUGGGAAUGCUUACCCAAUGCCUGUACAAGCAUUGUACCUUGGAAGUAGUUAACUUGCUUUAUAUUUCAGAGGCUCAUGGGCCUAAGGGACUGUAGCCUUGUGUCAGAUGAGACUUUAGGCUUUGGACAUUUGUAUAAAUGCUGGAAUGAUAUAAGAUUUUAUGGGACUUUAGGGAAGGCAUCAUUGUAUUUUGCAAUGUGAGAAGGACAUGAGAUUUGGGGAGUGAGGGAAAGAAUAAUAAAAUUCAGCUCUGUGUCCCUACCAAAACUCAUGUGGAAUUGUAAUUGGAAUGUUAAAGGUGGGGCCUGGUGGAAGAUGAUUUAAUCACGGUGCAGAGUGGGGGUUGGAAGAUGGGGGUGUAGGGAAAAUGGGGGAAUUAUGGUGGGGGUGAGGGGUGAAAAUUGGGGUGGGGGGUCAGAUCCUUCACAAAUCAUUAAACACUAUCUCCUUAUUGCUGUCCUUGUGACGGUGAGUUCUUUUCAUGAUUUUAGAACUGUAAGAUUAAAUGGAUACUGGCCUCCUGGGUUUUGGACUUGCAUUGGGCCUGUGGUCCCAUUUGUGUUAUUUUCCUGGGAAAUUUCUGCCCUUUGGAUUGAAAAAGCUUACCCAAUGCCUGUACCAUUAUUGUACCUUGAAAGAAAGAACAUUCUUUUAAAUUCAGGGACUCAUAGGCAAAAGGUACUGUAGACUUGUCUCAGAUGAGAUGUUGAAUUUUUUACAUUUGAGUUAUUGUUGGAAUGAGUUAAGACUUUUGGAAAAUUUUGAAAAGACAUGAAUAUAUUUUGCUCUGUGAGAAGGACAAGAGACUGCAGGGUAUCAGGUCAGAAUAAUAUGAUUUGGCUGUGUUUCUUUACCAAAACUCAUGUGAAUUGUAAUCCUUAAUGUUGGAGGUGGGACCUGGCUGGAGGUGAUUUAAUCAUGGAUGGGAGGGGGACCGGGGAUGGAAGGAAAGGGGUGGGUAGGGUGAGGAGUAGGUUGUUAGUAGGGUGGUGGGUACUAGGAGGGGGGAGUAACCUGCUUCAGAAGCAGAGGCUCAUGGAAAGUCUCUACUAGGGCAGGGCACCUGUGGCUUUGCAGGGUGUAGCCCCCAUGGCUGCUGUCAUGGGCUGGGCUCGUGUGGAGUGCCUGUAGCUUUUCUGUUCUGAGAGUGCAAGCUGUUGGUGGGUCUAUGAAUCUGCAGUCUGGAGGAUGGUGGCCUCCUGUAUGUGGGCUCCAAGCCUACAUUUUCCUUCUGCACUGCCCUGGUAGAGGUUCUCCAAGAGGCUCUGCCUCUGCAGGAGGCUUCUACGUGGAAACAGUGGGGGGUGGUGUGGGUGGAUCCUUCACCAAUGGUUAAUCUUCUUGAUGCUGAUCUCCUGAUACUGAGUUCUCAUGAGAUCUGGUUGUAUAACAAGUGUGGCACCUCUUUCCUCUCUCUGUCUUCCUCCUACACCUGCCAUAUGGAACAUCUCAUUGUCGCUUGGCCUUCUGGUAUGGUAGGAGACUUCCUGAGUCCUCCCAGAAGCAGAAGCCACUAUGUUCCCUUUACAGCCUGCAGAACUGUGAGCCAAUUAAACCUCUUUUUAAAAUAAUACUACAGAAAAUUUGUACUGUAGAGUGGAGCUAUGAAAUGCCCUCAAGGUUUUUUUCCUGAUUUUUUACUAUUAACAUUUGGCUUCUUUUAUAUGCAAAUAUCUGAAGCCUUCUUGAAUUUUCCCCCUGAAAAUGGACUUUUUUUCUUUUACCACACUGCCAGGCUGUCACAACGAUAGCUGAAAGUGUAGAAGCAAGUUCAGAAGCAGGUUCAGAAGCUGGGUAACGACCGCAGGCUGCACAGUUUGGAGGGCUUGGAAGAAGACAGAAAGAUGAAUGAAAGUUUUGACUAUUGUAGAGACGUGUUAAAUAGUUAUAAUUAAAAGGGUGACUGAAGGAUGGAUAGUGAAGGCCAGGCUUAGAAGGUCUCAGAUGAAAAUGAACAACUUACUGGGAGCAGAAGCCAAGGUAACUUUUCUUUUGCCUUAGCAAAGAACUUGGCUGGAUGGUGCCCCUGCCCUGGUGACCUGUGAAACUUUGAACUUGAGGGUGAUGAUUUAGGGUAUAUCUGGUGAAAUGAACUUCUAGGCAGCAAAGCUCAAGAGGUAUCUUGUCUGUAUUGAACAGCCUGUGGUGUUCUGUGUGACCAAAUAAAUGACCUCAAGUUGAAACUUAUAUUUAAAUGAGAAGCAGAGCUUUGAAGUUUGAUUUACAGCCUGCCCAAGAGGUCAAAAAGAAAAGCUGAUUUUUAGUGGGAAAAUUCAAGAAGGCUUCAGAAAUGUGCAUAAAAUGGAGCCCAGUGCUAAUAGCUAAGACAAUGUUAAAAAGGCCUUGAAGGCAUUUCAGAGACCUUUGCAGCAGAGCUUGCUGUCAAAGGCCCUGAGUUCUAGGACCAAAGAAUGGUUUCCUGGGUCAGUCCCAUGGUCGCGCUGCUGUGUCCAUCCUCAGGACAGUGCCGCCUGCAUCCCUGCAGCUCCAGCUCCAGCUCCAGCCAUGGCUGAAAGAUGCACAGGUACAGCUUGGGUCACUGCUUCAGAGGGUGCAAGCUGCAAGCCUUGGUGGCUUCCACAUAGUGUUAAGCCAGCAGGUGCACAGGCUUGGGAGCCUUUGUCUAGACUCAAGAGUAUGUAAGGAAAAACCUCAGUGUCCAGCUGGGCAGAAGCUUUUCCAAGAGGCAGAGCCUCAUGGGAAACCUUUACUAGGGCAGUGCAGAAGGAACAUACAGGGUUGAUGCCCCCAUACAGGGAGGAACCAUUUUCCAGACCCCAGAUUCAUAGACCCACCAACUGCUUGCACCCUCAGUGUGGGAAAGCCACAGGCACUGACCACCAGCCCAGCCCACGAGGGCAGCUGUGGGGAAAGACCCUGCACAGCCACAGAAGCUGAGCUGCCCAAGGCCUUGGGAGCCCCGCCAUCCACUCUUGUGCUCUAGAUGUGGGAUGUAGAUCCUUUCAGGAAAGAUGAUUUGGAGCUGUAGGAUGGAAUGACUUUCCUGCUGGGUUUUUGACUUGCAUGGGGUCUGCAAGUCCCAUCUGUGUUUUGUGCUUCCCUCUGACAAAUUUCUUCCUUUUGGCUGGGAAUGCUUACCCAAUGUCUCUACAAUCAUUGUACCUUGGAAGUAGUUAACUUGCUUUGUAUUUCAGAGGCUCGAGUAGAAGGGAUGGCAGCGUUGUCUCAGAUGAGACUGGGCUUUGGACAUUUCAGUAAAUGCUGGAAUGAGUUAAGACUUUGGGGGACUGUAGAGAAGGCAUCAUUGUAUUUUGCAGUGUGACAACGAUAUGAGAUGUGGGGGGACCUGGGUGAGAAUAAUAUGAUUUGGCCCUGUGUCACUACCAAUACUCUCGUGAAAUUGUAAUGGGGAAUGUUAAAGGUGGGGCCUGGUGGGAGAUGAUUUAAUCAUGGAGAAGAGUGGGGGUUGGAGGUGGGGGAGUGGGGAGAAUAGGAGAGAUUAUUUUGUGGGUGGGGGUGAAAAAUGAGGGGGGACGGAUUCUUCACAACUGGUGAAACACUAUCUCCUUAAUACUGUCUGCGUGAUAGUGAGUUCUCUUGAUGAUUAUGGAGCUUAAAGAUUGAGUGAAUAUUGUCCUGCUGGGGUUUGGACUGACAUUUUUGUCAUUUUUCUGGGGAAUUUCUUCCCUUUGGAUUGAGAAACCUUACUUAAUGCUUGUACUAUCAUUGUAUCUUGAAAGAAAAGAAAUGCCUUUUGAACUCAGGGACUGAUAGGCCGAAGGGACUGUAGCCUUGUCUCAGAUGAGACUUUGAAUUUUUUAUAUUUGGAAUGAGUUAAGAAUUUUGGAAACUUUUGAACAUGCAUGACUGUGUUUUGCUGUGUGAGAAGGACAUGAGGUUCUGGGGUAUCUGGGUCAAAUAAUAUGGAUUGACUGUGUGUCCAUAUAAAACUCAUAUGGAAUUGUAAUCCUUAAUUUUGGGGCCUGGUGGUAGGCGAUUUAAUCUUGAAUGGGAGGGGGUUCGGGGUGGUAGGAAAAGGAGGGGUAGGGUGGGGAGGAGUAGGUUGUCAGUAGGGUGGUAGGAGGAUGGGGGGUAGUAGGAAGGGGGAGUAGCCUUCUGCAGAGGCAGAGGCUCAUGGAAAACCUCUACUAGGGCAGUGCACCUGUGGCUUUGCAGGCUUUAGCCCCAUGGCUGCUCUCAUGGGCUGGGCUGGUGUUGAGUGCCUGUAGCUUUUCCAUACUGAGGGUGUGAGCUGUUGGUGGGCCUAUGAAUCCGGGAUCUGGAGGAUGGUGGCCUCCUUUUUGGGGGCUCCAAGCCCAUAUUUUCCUUCUGCACUGCCAUAGUGGAAGUUUCUCAAGAGGCUUGGCCUCUGCAGGAGGCUUCUGCCUGGAAACAGUGGGCGGUGGUGUGGGUGCAGGAUCUUCUUGAUGCUGAUCUCCUGAUAGUGAGACCUCAUGUGAUCUGGUUGUCUAACAGGGUGUGGUACCUCUUUCCUCUCUCUGUCUUGCUCCUACCCCUGCCAUAUGAAACAUCUCAUUGCCACUUGGCCUUCUGGUAUGAUUAGGAAGGGCCUGGUCAGUGUGGGCCUGGUCAGUGAACUAGUCAGUUGGGACUUGGUCAGUGAGGCCUAUUUACUGGGGGAAUGGUCAGCCAGGGUCUGCUUAGAGAGGGUCUCAUUAGAGGGAUCGAGUAGUGCAGGUCUUGGUGAGUGGGGACCUAGUGGCAGACAAAUGUUUGGUGUCUGGUCAGUGCAAACCUGGGCUGCAGGGCUUGGUGAGUGGAGACCUGGUCAGCUGUGGCUUAGUGGUAGCCUUGUCAGAAUGGGCUGGGUCACUGGUGACCCGGUCAAGGGGUGCUAUUCAGUGGAGGCCUGGUCACAUGGCACCUAGUCAGCAGGGCAUGUCCUCAUCAGUGAGACCCUUGUCAGUGGGACCCUGGUCAUGGCAGCCUGGUCAGGUCAGUGGAACCUAAUCAGUGGGGGCCUGGUCAGAGAGGACUUGAUCAGUGGUGGCUUUUGUAGCACUGGUCUAUGGGGUGACCUGGUCAACGGGGGUCUGAGCGGUACAUGCCUGUUCAGUGGUGCCUAGUCACUAGGUUCCUGGUCGGGGCAUCUGGUCACCGCAGGCCUGGUUAGUAGGGACCUGGUCACUGGCAGCCUGUUCCCUGGAGACCUGGUCAGUGGGGCUUCAUCUGUGGGGCCAGGCAAUGGGGUCAUGAUUGGUGGAAUGUGGUCAGGGAGGCCUUGUCAGUGAGGCCCUGGUCAGUGAGGCCUUGUCAGUGAGGUCCUUGUCAGUGGGGUCCUGGACACUGUGGGCCUGGCAGCGGGAAUCUAGUUAGUGGGGCCUGGUGAUGGGGGCCUAAUCAGUGAGAGUGUGGUCAGGGAGGACCUGAUGUGCGGGAUCUGGUCAGCAGGGACCUGGUCAGUGGGGCUGCUGAGCACUGCUGGGAGGUGUCAGGGGAAAUGCAUGUUAUCAGGGGCCCUAUGGACAGCUGGGAUGGCCCAGUGGUGUCCAAUGGCCCAGUCAAAAGUGGACAAAGCAGGUGUUUGGAUGGACCUGGGAGAUCUUGCUCAGAGAUUCUGAAAGAACAAAGGUAAAGGAAGGGCCAGAGUGGCUAGAGAGAUGGUAACAGUCUAUGGGCUGCACAGGAUGGAGGAAGCCAGGGAACAGGCAGGGUGGGCAGUAGGGGUGCAGGGAGAGGCAGGUGCAUGCUGGGAGGUCGGACCCUGUGAGGGCUGUGGGGGCGUCAGGUGGGGUGGGCUCCAGGUGCACUCUCAGUGUGCACUGGGCAGGUCUCGGUCCAGGCUCUCUGGACCCUGGUCGGGUGAUGUGGUCACUCCCUGGGGGACUGCUGUCAGGCCUAGCCACCCACCCUUGGCAGCACUGUCCCAUCUCAGGACUGGACUUUCUCAGAUCCUGCAGAGGGCACAGCCUCCAGCCCAGGAGGGGCAGCCCCUUGGUGCAGCCUAAGCUCUCCAUGGGCCUGGAGCAUCCCUGCCAGCCCUGCGCUCCCUCUACUCCCAGGUCCCGCUUUUCAAGUGUCAGCCAGCAGAGAGGCUCCGUCCUCCCUUCCCUAUGUGUCUCCUGGGCUAAAACUUGGGGCGCAUUGGGACAGGGAUGGUGCUUUCCUCAGGCCCAUUUAGGGAGGGGACUGGCUCCCAGCCUGGCACAGGUCCUCAGCUCUGCCUUGGUUGCCUUAGAGUGACAUGGAUCAGUCAGUGCCCUGAAGGUAAAUGGAAGAGACUGUCCCUGCUGUGUGGGAGGCUGGUCUAGGGAUGGAGGACUUGGCAGGUCCUCCCAGUCUGUCAGGCCUGGACAGCACUGUCCUGUCUCAGGACUCAGAAAAUCCGGUCUUGGGAUGGGACGGUGCUGCCCAGGGUGGGUGGCCAGGGCUUGACAGCAGUCCCCCAGGGAGUGACCACAUCAGCCAACCAGGGUCCAGGGAGCCUGGCCUGAGACCCACCCAGUGCAUUGAGGGUGCACCUGGAGCCCACCCCACCUGAUGCCCCCACAGCCCUCGCAGGGCCUGACCUCCCAGCAUGCACCUGCCUCUCCCUGCACCCCAGAUGUCCACCCUGCCUUUUCCCUGAUUUCCUCCAUCCUGUCCAGCAGGAUGGGCUGGUCAGUGGGAUAGCCUCUGUGCACAUUUUGUGGCAAGUAGGAGUGACACAUCAUUCCUGGGAGGCCCCGUGGUUCCUGCCAAACCCAACCCCAGAAUUCUCCCUGAGGUGGUUUUACCAAACCCAUAACCCAGAACUGCUAUUGUGGUUUGGGGGUCAGCACCCACCAGUGCCAGGGCACUACUGGGAGGCUGGGACCUGACCAAAGCCCAUGGUGUCUGUGGCCUGAGGACAGGGUGUCUUGGGGCCAUGAGGACAGGCCACCAAUGGCCGUUGGGUCAUAGGGCCUGAGCCCCAGUGUUUGUCCUUCCCUGGCUCCUUCUGGUUCAGUCCCAUCAGGGCUCUGGAUCCCAAGACGCAGCAUCCAAGGUUCCCUCCAGGAAUCCUGGUGGCUCGGCUUACUUUGUCAUGUUUCAUCUGAUAGCAAAAAUAUCAGAUCGGCUGCACAGAAAAAUGGCUCAAAGUGCUUAAUGACCAGAAGAAAUCUGGGAGUAGCAAGAAGGUAAUGUGGAGAGGGGAGGACCUCCAUGACUGGUGUCUGCAGAGCCAGGGGUACAGGGACCCAGUGCAGUGACCUGGCACCACCUGCCUCUCAGAGGGUGGGUAGCACACUGUCCUUACCUGGGGGACAGCAGGCCUGGUCACCGGCUUUUCUCCCUGUCCCUGCAAGCAUCACAUUGCUGGAAGAGAAUCUCAUGCCAGAGCUUGGACCAUCCCUAGCUUGGGGGUUAGGGGUUGUCUCUUGGUGACCUAAAUGAAAAAAUAGGUCCAGAUCAGAGUUCGUGAUGCAUAGCACUCACCCACUCUUUGAAUCAUGGGAGGGGAGGCCUAGUCCUAGGUAAACCUAAACUCUUUGAGGAACCACAGAGCCCAAGGCUGGAAACCUCCAGAAUCCUCCAGCCCCUGAUCCCCCCCCCCCCCGGGGACCUCUGUGGCCUGUCUCACCAGAGCACUCUUCUGUCUGUAGAGGUCUCAGGUGCUCUACAAGGGAGUCCCAUUUCAGGUGUGGGGCUGGGUAUGGUCACUCCUGCUGGAUGUCUAGAAGGUGAAAACCAAGGACCUAGGAAAAUACCAGAUACAGCCUUUCCACCGUCAUCCAGAGCAGGACAAACACGCCAGGUGGUGUCAGGAGCCCAGGUCUCCAGCUGGAGGGAAUGUCAACCCUGCAGUGGGAGCCCAUCAUGCAUCCUAGGCACAGAUGCUAACGUAGGCACCGCAGAAGCACUGCUGACUGUUUGGUGGUUGCUGUUAGGGCAGUGAGCCUUUUGUCCAUUCUGAGAUUAGGCUGGUUUCUCCUCUUGGCCCUGGCCUACAGACCAUAAAGGAAAACAGCAAGAGGUCCCCAGCAAACAUCUACAGAUGGCCCUGGACAUCAGCCACAUUCAGAGAAACGUGUCAUGUUCUGGGAGGGCUAAGGCAUCGAGUAAGGCCUAUGGGGCUGGAGGAUCACAGGGCAGGUGGGGCAAUCCAGAGCUGUGGGGGCUUCCAUGGGAAUUGGGAGGUCCCAAGGCAGAGGUAGGGGUUCCACAGGAGGAGUCACAGAGCCACCAAGGGCUCUCCUGGCCCAGGGAGCAGUCAACACCAUGGACUGAACACCCACUGGGCUAAGCCCUGGGCCAGGCUGGGGCAUGUGGGGCCAGGAGGCAGCUCAGAGUGGGAGACAGAGAGACAAGUGUGCUCAGAGGGCACCCAUAUCUGCAUAUAACGUGGUCCUGAAUUUCUGGCUGGGAAGUGCUUCCAGGGUUUCAUAUGUGUUAUGGAGAUGCUUCCUCUCUCCAACCUCACCGUGCAGGAAUCCCAGUGAAUAUAUUGCCACCAUCUUGGAGCUCAGUGCCCUCAUAGUGUAACAGCACCAGCAGAUCUGCCUGUGCACAGACUUCCUGUACUACCUCACUCCUGAGGGGAGAUGCUUCUGCAGGGCCUGCGACCUGGUGCACAACUUUAGACACCAUCAUCCUGGAGCGGCACUGCACCCUCACUAGCCAGGGUGUUGAUGACUUCCUCAAUGCCAAGGCCACGUUCAAGAUUUUCGACUUCAGUGAUGCGUUUGUGCUGAGCAAGGAUAUGACAGCACAGCCAGUGGCCUCUACUGGAUCCUGGUACCCCUCAGAAGACACCCAGACACUGGGAGUGCUGCCACCUCGUGGUGCAAGAGUUCUGAGGGACGGCAAUUCUGAAGACAUUGAAUGGUGGGUGCUGGGCCUCAUGGCUGUUCCCCAGCCCCUCUCAUUGGCUCUGCUCCAGGUGGAGAAGGGGGAUGAUGUCUCUGUCAGUUCUGCUGUUUUAGCCUAGAAGGAAAAGAAGCAGAGCCCAGAAGCAGGGCCUGGUACCCAGCCUGCCUAACAAGGGAGAAUUUGUAGGCUUUGUGGACAGAAAGAUCUGGGACUCCAUGUCACCCACUAACUUGCUGAGACAUUAGUAAAAUCAGUUUUCUUUUCUGAACUAUGUUUCUGUCAUCUGUACAUUGAGAGGAAUUUCUUUUACUCCACGAGGCUGCUUGGAGAAUUAGUGACAGUGUGUGUAGAGCAUGUGCCACCCAGCAGGCAUUUGGUGUCGAGACCACACCUCCUCCCCCUUCAUUUUCAGCCUAAAUUUGCAUUUUGUUCUUAAGACUUUCACUCGCCUUAAUUUUACUCUUUCCUCUGAUUCCCACCUUAUCGUCUAUCCCAUGGAGUCACUAGGAUCUAAGUGGGUAACAGUCAUGUAUGCAUGUAUGUGUAUGUACGUAUAUACUUUGUUGGUGUUGGAGUGUGGUGUGUGAAUGUGUGUGUGUGUGUGUGUUGGAGUUACUGGGUGACUGAAACUGUACACAUCAGGCUGUGGUUCUGCCCAUUGCUGGAAGCGCUGUCAGGGGUCCUGCCCUCAACCCCAGGUCUGACCCUUGCAGCGCAGGCAGGACAUUCUGGAGGAAUCAUGCCCUUGGGAGGAUCCCUGAGGAGUGACUGGUGGGUAUUGGUGGAUAAAUACCCCUGGUCCCUUGCUCUGGGUAUGAUGACUCUGAAGCACAUGUUCUGUGCUGUCUCUCAGAGGUACCUGGCAGGGCUGAGUCCUGGCUGCCACAGUGGAAACUUUCUUGAUGAAGGUCCCUUUAACUGCUGCAUUCCUUUCCUGUCUCAGUUCCCCACUCCUCCACUGAUGUUUCCUGGGAUUAGCACCCUAAGGAAGAACUGGCAGUCGAAUUAAUAUCCUAGCGUUAUCUCCAAACAAAAUUUUUGUAUUUGAAUCUUUGCCUCAGGAUCUACUUCCAGGAAAUUCAGACUAAGACACACAUUUUUCUUUUGGCUCCUUGAAUCCCCAUAGGCCUGACAUUUUGCUGUUUUUAUCAAAAAGGAACAUGAGGAUCAGAGAGGGAAAGUCACUUGCCCAAAGUCACCCAGCUGAACAGUGGUAGAGUUCAACUUUGAUCAUGAGAUGUCUGGCCCCCAGGUGGAGGCUUGCUCCUCUCCCAUGAGACUCCUUCCUUAUCAGGGUCAAAUGAAUGAAUGGAGGAUGUUAAAAGUGGGGUCUCUGAUGCCUUUGCCAGAUAAACCCCAGGCUCAUGGCUGGCGCCUGUUUUCUCAUUCUUACCUCAUUAAGAGUAGUAAUGAAAAACAUGCUCAGUGCUGACCGUGUGCCUGGGGGUGUUGUAGGCACUCCACUUACUUUAAUUCAUUUAAUUUUCACAAUAACCUUGUUUUUACUUCUAGUUGUUAUAUGAAAAAACUGAGGCAAAGAGCAAUACAGAGAGUUGCAAAAAUUCAUACCGCUGGUCCAGGUUUGAACCAAACAGUCUGCACCUGGAGUCCUUGUUUGUAACCAUGGCACCCUGUCUUCACACAUAUCUCAUCGUGGAGUUCCAUCUUGUGUUAGGCAUGGCACUGAGCAGCUUCUUUUAAGAACAUAAUUUGUAGCCAGGCGCAGUGGCUUAUGCCUGUAAUCCCAGCACUUUGGGAGGCCGAGGCGGGCAGAUCACGAGGUCAGGAGAUCCAGACCAUCCUGGCUAACUUGGUGAAACCCCGUCUCUAAUAAAAACACAAAAAAUUAGCUGGGCAUGAUGAUUGGCGCCUAUAGUCCCAGCUACUUGGGAGGCUGAGGCAGGAGACUGGCAUGAACCCGGGAGGUGGAACUUGCAGUGAGCCGAGAUGGCGCGACUGCACUCCAGCCUGGGCGAGAGAGCAAGACUCCAUCUAAAAAAAAAGAAAAAAACAUGAUUUGUAAUUAUGUAAAUUACUAAUUCUACUUCAAAGUGCCACACAGCCUUCAUGUGAUAAAAUGAAGCAAUUGGUAAGUCUAAGCAUUGAGAAAAAACAUUAUUUUUCCCAGCUCCAUUGCAACAGUUGGGACAGUGUUUUCUCUGUGCCUAUAGAAACCUCAGCUAGUGUGCCGAGGAGUCUGGUCCCUUUGGGGAAUGUGGCAGUCAGGUUCUGGCAGGGACCUCGAAGUGGCUGGUAAUGUCUUUCAUUACCACCACCACGUGACCUGGUCUUACGACCUGUUAGCUUCCUUCAUCAGGCAUGAGCACCAGGAUGGCAGGGGCCUCAUCUGUCCUGUUCCUCCUGUGGCCUGGGUCCUAGCACCAUGUCUGGUACAGUGUAGGUGCUCAAGGGAAGUUUACUUUAUAGAACUGUCUACCUGGGAGAUGUUGCUGUUAGUCUAACCUGUACCAUUUUGUAAACCUGCAGCCGUUUUGCACACCCUGGUCAGAAUGAAACAUUCCUUGGGAACUCGGGCCGUGAGAAGCAUCCUUCCUGAUCACCUGACUGUAGAAACAUCCUUAUCGCACCCUCCCGGGCAAAGGCCCAACAGCCUGACUGCAGGAACAUCCUUGCCAUAUCCUGCCGGGCAGCAAGCUCUACCGCCCACACCCCUCCUUCCCAGUCCCAUGAUCACCCCAGCCUGUGAGAGGCAGUUGGUGCUGGCAGUAAGCUGGUUUCCUCCUCUGCAGGGUUUUGCUAGUAAUAAAGGUGUUGCUGUUGAAGCCGUC
This 15858-nucleotide long non-coding RNA is filed under the name Homo sapiens (human). RNAcentral's name for it is "HSALNT0352026". Lineage: Eukaryota; Metazoa; Chordata; Mammalia; Primates; Hominidae. The record is from RNAcentral.